ACGUAGGUGACAAGCGUUAUCCGGAUUUACUGGGUGUAAAGGGCGUGUAGGCGGGUCUGCAAAUCGGAUGUGAAAUUCCCCGGAAUAACACGAGCAGGGCAUCCGAAACUGCGGAUCUUGAGUACUGGAGAGGAUAGUGGAAUUCCUAGUGUAGCGGUAAAAUGCGUAGAUAUUAGGAGGAACACCAGUGGCGAAGGCGGCUAUCUGGACAGUAACUGACGCUGAGGCGCGAAAGCGUGUGGAGCAAACAG
Molecule: ribosomal RNA, 251 nt
Filed under: uncultured prokaryote
Description: partial 16S rRNA
Rfam family: Bacterial small subunit ribosomal RNA
Source: RNAcentral